This 71-nucleotide transfer RNA is filed under the name Colwellia sp. RNAcentral's name for it is "tRNA-Tyr". It matches the Rfam family "tRNA". From Rfam's summary of the family: Transfer RNA (tRNA) molecules are approximately 80 nucleotides in length. Their secondary structure includes four short double-helical elements and three loops (D, anti-codon, and T loops). Lineage: Bacteria; Pseudomonadati; Pseudomonadota; Gammaproteobacteria; Alteromonadales; Colwelliaceae. The record is from RNAcentral.
GCUAUAGUAGCUCAACUGGGAGAGCACUGUGUGUAACUCGGAGGUUGUUGGUUCAAGUCCAACCUAUAGCU